GACGAACGCUGGCGGCGUGCUUAACACAUGCAAGUCGAACGGAAAGGCCCUGCUCUUGCUGGGUGCUCGAGUGGCGAACGGGUGAGUAACACGUGAGUAACCUGCCCUUGACUUUGUGAUAACUUCAGGAAACUGGGGCUAAUACCGGAUAGGAGCUCCUGCUGCAUGGUGGGGGUUGGAAAGUUUCGGCGGUUGGGGAUGGACUCGCGGCUUAUCGGCUUGUUGGUGGAGUAGUGGCUUACCAAGGCUUCGACGGGUAGCCGGCCUGAGAGGGUGACCGGCGACAAUGGGACUGAGAUACGGCGCAGAAGCCUACGGGAGGCAGCAGUGGAGAGUAUUGCGCAGUGGGCGGAAGCCUGAUGCAGCGGCGUCGCGUGCGGGAUAACGGCCUUCGGGUUGUAAACCGCUUUGGCAUGUGACGAAGCGUGAGUGACGGUAAUGGGUAAAGAAGCACCGGCUAACUACGUG
RNAcentral lists this ribosomal RNA (468 nucleotides) under uncultured bacterium. RNAcentral's name for it is "partial 16S ribosomal RNA". It matches the Rfam family "Bacterial small subunit ribosomal RNA", at positions 28 to 507 of the family's 1533-position model. The record is from RNAcentral.